UGAAUACGAGACGCUAAGGCGUCGAAGUAGUGUAUGUCAUACUUCCAAGAAAAGCUUGCACUGUCAUAGAUAAAAAACGCCUGUACCAUAACCGACACAGGUGGGUAGGUAGAGUAUACUAAGGGGCGCGAGAUAACUCUCUCUAAGGAACUCGGCAAAAUAACUCCGUAACUUCGGGAGAAGGAGUGCCUUAUUCGUAAGGUUGCAAUAACAAGAUCCAAGCAACUGUUUAUCAAAAACACAGGUCUCCGCUAAGUCGUAAGACGAUGUAUGGGGGCUGACGCCUGCCCAGUGCCAGAAGGUUAAAGAAGUUGGUCAGCAAUUGCGAAGCUGAUAACUGAAGCCCUGGUGAACGGCGGCCGUAACGAUAACGGUCCUAAGGUAGCGAAAUUCCUUGUCGGGUAAGUUCCGACCCGCACGAAAGGCGUAAUGAUUUGGAUACUGUCUCGGAGAGGGGCUCGGUGAAAUAGACUUGUCUGUGAAGAUGCGGACUACCUGCACCAGGACAGAAAGACCCUAUGAAGCUUUACUGUAACUUGAAAUUGAAAUUGGACUUUAUUCGCGCAGUAUAGGUGGGAGGCGUUGAUUAUAAUCUCGUGGGAUUAUUGGAGCCAUCAGUGAGAUACCACUCUUGUAAUGUUAGAUUUCUAACUUUGAAUCAUUAUCUGGUCAAAGAACAGUUUCAGGCGGGCAGUUUGACUGGGGCGGUCGCCUCCUAAACGGUAACGGAGGCGUACAAAGGUUUCCUCUGAACGGUUAGAAAUCGUAUCUAGAGUGUAAAGGCAUAAGGAAGCUUGACUGUGAGACCUACAAGUCGAGCAGGGACGAAAGUCGGUCUUAGUGAUCUGACGGUACUGAGUGGAAAGGCCGUCACUCAACGGAUAAAAGUUACUCUAGGAUAACAGGCUGAUCUCCCCCAAGAGUUCACAUCGACGGGGAGGCUUGGCACCUCGAUGUCGGCUCAUCGCAUCCUGGGGCGGUAGUACGUCCCAAGGGUUGGGCUGUUCGCCCAUGAAAGCGGUACGCGAGCUGGGUUCAGAACGUCGUGAGACAGUUCGGUCCAUAUCCGGUGUAGGCGUUAGAAUAUUGAGAGGAGCCUUCUUUAGUACGAGAGGACCGAGAAGGACAUACCUCUGGUGUACCAGUUAUCGUGCCAACGGUAAACGCUGGGUAGCUAUGUAUGGAGUGGAUAACCGCUGAAAGCAUCUAAGUGGGAAGCCCACCUCAAGAUAAG
This 1234-nucleotide ribosomal RNA is filed under the name metagenome. RNAcentral describes it as "bacterial LSU rRNA". It matches the Rfam family "Bacterial large subunit ribosomal RNA", at positions 1564 to 2808 of the family's 2925-position model. The record is from RNAcentral.